GCAUUGGUGGUUCAGUGGUAGAAUUCUCACCUUCUCUGCAGGAGAUCCAGGUGUGAUUCCUGGUCAGUGUA
Molecule: transfer RNA, 71 nt
Filed under: Loxodonta africana (African savanna elephant)
Lineage: Eukaryota; Metazoa; Chordata; Mammalia; Proboscidea; Elephantidae
Rfam family: tRNA
About the family: Transfer RNA (tRNA) molecules are approximately 80 nucleotides in length. Their secondary structure includes four short double-helical elements and three loops (D, anti-codon, and T loops). Further hydrogen bonds mediate the characteristic L-shaped molecular structure. tRNAs have two regions of fundamental functional importance: the anti-codon, which is responsible for specific mRNA codon recognition, and the 3' end, to which the tRNAs corresponding amino acid is attached (by aminoacyl-tRNA synthetases). tRNAs cope with the degeneracy of the genetic code in two manners: having more than one tRNA (with a specific anti-codon) for a particular amino acid; and 'wobble' base-pairing, i.e. permitting non-standard base-pairing at the 3rd anti-codon position.
Source: Rfam by way of RNAcentral